RNAcentral lists this ribosomal RNA (443 nucleotides) under uncultured bacterium. Its description in RNAcentral is "partial 16S ribosomal RNA". It matches the Rfam family "Bacterial small subunit ribosomal RNA", at positions 338 to 795 of the family's 1533-position model. The record is from RNAcentral.
CCUACGGGGGACAGCAGUGGGGAAUAUUGGGCAAUGGGCGCAAGCCUGACCCAGCAACGCCGCGUGAAGGAAGAAGGCUUUCGGGUUGUAAACUUCUUUUCUCAGGGACGAAGCAAGUGACGGUACCUGAGGAAUAAGCCACGGCUAACUACGUGCCAGCAGCCGCGGUAAUACGUAGGUGGCAAGCGUUAUCCGGAUUUACUGGGUGUAAGGGGCGUGUAGGCGGGAAAGCAAGUCAGAUGUGAAAACCAUGGGCUCAACCUGUGGCCUGCAUUUGAAACUGUUUUUCUUGAGUACUGGAGAGGCAGACGGAAUGUCUAGUGUAGCGGUGAAAUGCGUAGAUAUUAGGCGGAACACCAGUGGCGAAGGCGGUCUGCUGGACAGCAACUGACGCUGAGGCGCGAAAGCGUGGGGAGCAAACAGGAUUAGAUACCCCGGUAGUC